This 207-nucleotide ribosomal RNA is filed under the name uncultured bacterium. RNAcentral describes it as "partial 16S ribosomal RNA". It matches the Rfam family "Bacterial small subunit ribosomal RNA", at positions 568 to 774 of the family's 1533-position model. The record is from RNAcentral.
CUCGUAGGCGGUUCGUCGCGUCCGGUGUGAAAGUCCAUCGCUUAACGGUGGAUCCGCGCCGGGUACGGGCGGGCUUGAGUGCGGCAGGGGAGACUGGAAUUCCCGGUGUAACGGUGGAAUGUGUAGAUAUCGGGAAGAACACCAAUGGCGAAGGCAGGUCUCUGGGCCGUUACUGACGCUGAGGAGCGAAAGCGUGGGGAGCGAACA